Molecule: unclassified non-coding RNA, 422 nt
Filed under: uncultured fungus
Lineage: Eukaryota; Fungi
Description: partial contains 5.8S ribosomal RNA and internal transcribed spacer 2
Rfam family: 5.8S ribosomal RNA (bases 1-133)
Source: RNAcentral
UGGCUCUCGCAACGAUGAAGAACGCAGCGAAAUGCGAUAAGUAGUGUGAAUUGCAGAAUUCAGUGAAUCAUCAAAUCUUUGAACGCACAUUGCGCUUCCUGGCAUUCCGGGGAGCAUGCCCGUUUCAGCAUCAUUGGAAUAUCAUAAGAUGCCCAGCUGGCCCUCCAAAGCAAGCAGUGUGUUUUAUGUUGAUGGAUCCCGGUGAUGGAAUAUGCAUCGGGAUUCUGAAAGCCAUGGUGUGGGUGCAGCAGUCGUAACGGCCUCAGCUGGCUCCAAGUGCAGCAGACUUUAUUGUAUCUCACUUUGUGACAGCAUUUUGAGGCCUAGGCUGCGGCAAACCUCUCCUAAGAUCAUAAUGAGAGCCCAUUCUAUUGAGUGGAUUCUCAUGACUUGGUCUGAAAUCGGGCAAGAAAACCCGCUGA